This is a long non-coding RNA of Zophobas morio, 730 nucleotides long. RefSeq lists it as uncharacterized. The transcript has 3 exons. The record is from RefSeq and is a predicted model, not a curated record. NCBI's taxonomy places the organism in Eukaryota, Metazoa, Arthropoda, Insecta, Coleoptera, Tenebrionidae.
CAACGUUCUGACACGAGAAGAAAUCAAAACUUUCUUACAAGAAGCUGAUGACGGAGAAUAUUUAUUCGAGAAGGUUGCUUUAAUUUUUGGAAUUGCCGGAGCUUGCAGAAAGGCCGAAUUGUGUGCUAUGAGAUUUGACGAUAUACAAGAUUGUGGUAAUGUUCUGAAUAUUGUUAUACCUGACAGUAAAACCCACAAAGAAAGAAGAUUCAGUGUAGUUAAUGAAGGCUUUGGUGUUAAUACCAUUGAUUUGUAUCGACGUUAUGUUGCUUUACGACCCACAAAUUCACCAUUGGGGUUUUUUUACACUAUUAUAAAGGUAAAUGUACUCGCCAAAAUGUAGGAAUUAACACCUUUGGAAAAAUUCCCAGAAAAAUUGCAACUUUCCUCAAACUGGAAAAUCCAGCUAAAUACACAGGCUGGUCAUUCUUUUCGCCGCAGUUCGGCAACUCUCCUGCUUAACGCAGGCGGAGACAUUACUUCGUUGAAGAGGCAUGGCGGGUGGGAAUCGACCAAGGUGGCAGAAUCUUACAUACAAGAAUCUUUUGGAGAAAGAGUGAAAAUUGCUCAAAAAAUUUUUGGAGAUGAAAAGCUGGCACCGAAUGAAUUAGUUGACAAUGAAAUCGUUAUGGACAAGCCCACGAACCUAAGUUACAGUGAAGCGUGUGGCAGCUCCAGUUCUAGCUCUAGUACUAGCAAGAACACCGCUCAAAAUGUUUAUUUUGAAUAA